GAUGAACGCUGGCGGCGUGCCUAACACAUGCAAGUCGAACGGUGAAGCAGAGCUUGCUCUGUGGAUCAGUGGCGAACGGGUGAGUAACACGUGAGCAACCUGCCCCUGACUCUGGGAUAAGCGCUGGAAACGGCGUCUAAUACUGGAUAUGAGCUGCGACCGCAUGGUCAGCAGUUGGAAAGAUUUUUCGGUCUGGGAUGGGCUCACGGCCUAUCAGCUUGUUGGUGAGGUAAUGGCUCACCAAGGCGUCGACGGGUAGCCGGCCUGAGAGGGUGACCGGCCACACUGGGACUGAGACACGGCCCAGACUCCUACGGGAGGCAGCAGUGGGGAAUAUUGCACAAUGGGCGAAAGCCUGAUGCAGCAACGCCGCGUGAGGGAUGACGGCCUUCGGGUUGUAAACCUCUUUUAGCAGGGAAGAAGCGAAAGCGACGGUACCUGCAGAAAAAGCGCCGGCUAACUACGUG
RNAcentral lists this ribosomal RNA (467 nucleotides) under uncultured bacterium. Its description in RNAcentral is "partial 16S ribosomal RNA". It matches the Rfam family "Bacterial small subunit ribosomal RNA", at positions 28 to 507 of the family's 1533-position model. The record is from RNAcentral.